UUCAUGAUGAUUCAAAUUCAUAAUUGUUUUAAUAACUAUUUUGUCAUUACUGUCUGACGAUGAUGUGUACUAGGUGUCAUGCAAAACGGAUGAAAGGUCUACAAGAACUUCAAAAAAAAAUUUCAUAAAUUGUCAGAUAUCAAAGAUUUAUUUGGCACCUGAAUAUCUGUGCACAUUUAGUAUUCAACCCCAAAGUUCAUUGCUCCCUGUGUGGAAAAGAGUCUCCUGUUGGAGGUGUGGGUCUGAACACAUGGGUUUGUGUCCUUUUCAAUGAGAAAUUUCUAAUUAGAUUAGCUAUUACACA
RNAcentral lists this long non-coding RNA (304 nucleotides) under Sinocyclocheilus anshuiensis. RNAcentral describes it as "lncRNA (ENSSANG00000022541.1)". The record is from RNAcentral. Lineage: Eukaryota; Metazoa; Chordata; Actinopteri; Cypriniformes; Cyprinidae.